Molecule: ribosomal RNA, 399 nt
Filed under: Tetraselmis cordiformis
Lineage: Eukaryota; Viridiplantae; Chlorophyta; Chlorodendrophyceae; Chlorodendrales; Chlorodendraceae
Description: partial small subunit ribosomal RNA
Rfam family: Eukaryotic small subunit ribosomal RNA
Source: RNAcentral
GCUUGUCUCAAAGAUUAAGCCAUGCAUGUCUAAGUAUAAACUGCUUAUACUUUGAAACUUUUAAUGGCUCAUUAAAUAAGUUAUUGUUUACUUGAUGGUACCUACUACUCGGAUAACCGUAGUAAUUCUAGAGCUAAUGCGUGCGUAAAUCCCGACUCCUAGAAUGGACGUAUUUAUUAGAUUUAAGGCCAACCGAGCUUGCUCGUCUCUUCGCGAAUCAUGAUAACUUCACGAAUCGCAUGGCCUCGCGCCCGCGAUAUUUCAUUCAAAUUUCUGCCCUACCAAUUGGCGAUGGUAGGAUAGAAGCCUACCAUGGUGUUAACGGGUGACGGGGGAUUAGGGAUCGAUUCCGGAGAGGCAGCCUGAGAAACGGCUACCACAUACAAGGAAGGCAGCAGG